Saccostrea cuccullata (small rock oyster) is the source of this 368-nucleotide long non-coding RNA. RefSeq lists it as uncharacterized. Lineage: Eukaryota; Metazoa; Mollusca; Bivalvia; Ostreida; Ostreidae. The transcript has 4 exons. The record is from RefSeq and is a predicted model, not a curated record.
AUUUUCAUUGGUUAGAAAUAACGAAAGUAGCCGGAGCGGUCGUAAUGCACACAUUGACACAACUUCGCAAGCAUGAAAUUGGCGAAUUCAACCUAAAGUCAAAAUUAUAGGUACGCAUGAUCGAUGUAACUUCCUUGAUGGUGUGUUGGCUGUUUGCCCAUGUGUAUUUCGGGGUAUAGGAGUAGCCUCCCCUUUUAAAGAUCCAAAAUGGUGAUUUUACAGUGCGGCAUGCAGUCUGUCAUCAACGAAGAGUUUUGACACCUGUAAUACCCAUAUUUCUACCAUUCACCUCUGUAACCUUUGUUGAGUUCAUCAGACUGUCCAAGACAGGAAGUUGAGGAAUAAAGUUGACAGGACAUCCUGAACUA